UACGUAGGGGGCAAGCGUUGUCCGGAUUUAUUGGGCGUAAAGCGCUCGCAGGCGGUUUUGUAAGACAGGCGUGAAAUCCCCGAGCUCAACUUGGGAAUGGCGCUUGUGACUGCAAGGCUAGAGUAUGUCAGAGGGGGGUAGAAUUCCACGUGUAGCAGUGAAAUGCGUAGAGAUGUGGAGGAAUACCGAUGGCGAAGGCAGCCCCCUGGGACGUCACUGACGCUCAUGCACGAAAGCGUGGGGAGCAAACAGG
Molecule: ribosomal RNA, 253 nt
Filed under: uncultured bacterium
Lineage: Bacteria
Description: partial 16S ribosomal RNA
Rfam family: Bacterial small subunit ribosomal RNA
Source: RNAcentral